CAGGAGGCGAGAGGAAAGCUGGGAGUUUGGGUCCUUCGUGGGCAGCGAGCGGAGGCAGACAGAAGAUGGAAGGAGAGAUUAAGAAAGAGCUGGAUACAGGUUUUCCACUUUCUGGAUGUUCCUUAAGAGAAUGAAAGAACUUCUUCUUAAAUGCAGGGUUCUCUCCAGUAAAUGGAGUUACCGGACAGUCCUUAAGUAGAAAUGCAGGAAAGAGCACACUUUGGGAAUUUGAAACACUGGAGUUCUAGUACUCUCUUGCACUCUUUUAAAAAGUCACUCGACAGUUUCUCCUGUCAGAAUUUCCUGCUCAUUGGGAAACAAGGAUGAAAAAGAUACAAUGCUUGCCCUCAUGGAGUCUGCAUUGUAAUAUGGACACAAAACAUUUACUCAUAUAUGGGAUAAUGAGAAACCCAUGAAACUUUAUCUUCAAGAAGUUCCUGUGCCAAGAACAGUCGUAUACUGGAUGGGCAUCUUCAAACUGCACAGUGAUAAUGCUUGAAAUUUAUGGGGCUAGAAGUUUGAAGGUAGCUGCUGAACACUGUGCUUGAAGUCACCUUAGUG
This is a long non-coding RNA of Callorhinus ursinus (northern fur seal), 561 nucleotides long. RefSeq lists it as uncharacterized. Lineage: Eukaryota; Metazoa; Chordata; Mammalia; Carnivora; Otariidae. The record is from RefSeq and is a predicted model, not a curated record.